GAUGAACGCUGGCGGCGUGCCUAAUACAUGCAAGUCGAGCGAACAGACGAGGAGCUUGCUCCUCUGACGUUAGCGGCGGACGGGUGAGUAACACGUGGAUAACCUACCUAUAAGACUGGGAUAACUUCGGGAAACCGGAGCUAAUACCGGAUAAUAUAUUGAACCGCAUGGUUCAAUAGUGAAAGACGGUUUUGCUGUCACUUAUAGAUGGAUCCGCGCCGCAUUAGCUAGUUGGUAAGGUAACGGCUUACCAAGGCAACGAUGCGUAGCCGACCUGAGAGGGUGAUCGGCCACACUGGAACUGAGCCACGGUCCAGACUCCUACGGGAGGCAGCAGUAGGUAAUCUUCCGCAAUGGGCGAAAGCCUGACGGAGCAACGCCGCGUGAGUGAUGAAGGUCUUCGGAUCGUAAAACUCUGUUAUUAGGGAAGAACAAAUGUGUAAGUAACUAUGCACUUCUUGACGGUACCUAAUCAGAAAGCCACGGCUAACUACGUG
This 497-nucleotide ribosomal RNA is filed under the name uncultured bacterium. RNAcentral describes it as "partial 16S ribosomal RNA". It matches the Rfam family "Bacterial small subunit ribosomal RNA", at positions 28 to 507 of the family's 1533-position model. The record is from RNAcentral.